GACGAACGCUGGCGGCGUGCUUAACACAUGCAAGUCGAACGGUGAACGAGGGAGCUUGCUCCCUCCGGAUCAGUGGCGAACGGGUGAGUAACACGUGAGCAAUCUGCCCCGAACUCUGGGAUAAGCGUUGGAAACGACGUCUAAUACCGGAUACGACGCGGGAGGGCAUCCUCUCCGCGUGGAAAGAACUUCGGUUCGGGAUGAGCUCGCGGCCUAUCAGCUUGUUGGUGAGGUAACGGCUCACCAAGGCGACGACGGGUAGCCGGCCUGAGAGGGUGACCGGCCCCACUGGGACUGAGACACGGCCCAGACUCCUACGGGAGGCAGCGGUGGGGAAUAUUGCACAAUGGGCGCAAGCCUGAUGCAGCAACGCCGCGUGGGGGACGACGGCCUUCGGGUUGUAAACCUCUUUUAGCAGGGAAGAAGCGAAAGUGACGGUACCUGCAGAAAAAGCACCGGCUAACUACGUG
RNAcentral lists this ribosomal RNA (470 nucleotides) under uncultured bacterium. RNAcentral describes it as "partial 16S ribosomal RNA". It matches the Rfam family "Bacterial small subunit ribosomal RNA", at positions 28 to 507 of the family's 1533-position model. The record is from RNAcentral.